This is an RNA transcript of Rhinopithecus roxellana (golden snub-nosed monkey), 714 nucleotides long. It is a transcript of the gene named coiled-coil domain-containing protein 162-like, with no coding region annotated. NCBI's taxonomy places the organism in Eukaryota, Metazoa, Chordata, Mammalia, Primates, Cercopithecidae. The record is from RefSeq and is a predicted model, not a curated record. The transcript is spliced from 4 exons.
AAUGCGCGCUAUGGGUCCUUUUUCCUAACACUUGCAGAAGAUUUCAGCCCCGGCCACGAUGUUUGCUGUCAGCGGAUGGAAAAGUCUUCCUCAAUUUAUGGUUCAUACCCCAUUCUUCUGAAGUGCUGAUUAUGUUCAAAACUCUGCCAGAAAAGGCAGCUUUUAAAGCCUUAAAGCGAACUCUACAGCUGAUAGCUCCUCUGCAUGAUAUCGUGGCCUACCUUGUCAGUUUUGCUAAGCUUGGCAAUUGUGCAGCAUGUUUUGAAUUUCCUCUAAGUCCCAACCCUUUGAGAGGAGACUGGGGAGGAACUGAGGUCAUUGAAGAACGUUUUUGGCAGCUGGAAAUAUUCCUGCCUACCAGUCUGUCACAGACAGCAUGUGCCAUGGGCUACCAGCACUGAGCAACUGUCUCAGGAAGAGCAUUUUUGCCUCGCAGCUCAGCGUGCCCCAGCCACUGAAUCCACGAAGCCUCCAGGCAUUUGAGCUGUUUCCUUGGAGAGCAUUUCUGGAAGAUGGAGGACUAUUCCCAGUUAUGAGUAGCAGCCCAGAUACCCUAGAAUAUAAUAUGCAGGUAGGAUAGGUCUUCUCCAUUGUUACAGAGAGAACUGAGUGCAGACUGCAAAGAUGGUUGCCAUUGGGUCCACAGGUCAGAUCCUCCUACUCUCACCCAUGAUGAAUAAUGUGUGAGAUAAGCGGGGUGUUUGAUUUUGAAGC